UACAGAGGUGGCAAGCGUUGUUCGGAAUUACUGGGCGUAAAGGGCGCGUAGGCGGUUCGUUAAGUCCUGUGUGAAAUCCCCCGGCUCAACUGGGGAACUGCACAGGAAACUAGCGGGCUUGAGUUCGGGAGAGGGAAGCGGAAUUCCGGGUGUAGCGGUGAAAUGCGUAGAUAUCCGGAGGAACACCGGUGGCGAAGGCGGCUUCCUGGACCGA
Molecule: ribosomal RNA, 214 nt
Filed under: uncultured bacterium
Lineage: Bacteria
Description: partial 16S ribosomal RNA
Rfam family: Bacterial small subunit ribosomal RNA
Source: RNAcentral